GGCCCGGCUCUGAAGCCGGGAUUGGGACAAGCUGUGGGCUAUGGGGCUGGCGUCAGAUCCGGCUGGGGGGCUGGCGCCCGAGGCGGCCGCUGCGCACCCUCACUGAUCCCCCGUUCUGCUCGUUCGUGUUCUCGUUAACCCAACGAGCUCCUGCGCCGCUCGGCCGCUUCGCUGGGCGCCCCGAGCUGCUCUCGCCUCACCCGGCGGCCGGCUCGGACGCCGCGUUUCCGACGAGGCCGAACUCCGCUUUCCGCUUGUCCUCCUUCGAAAAAGGAGCUCUGCGUGCCUCGUGCUUUAGCAGAACAUGGUGACCUGAUGCCUGCAGAGAACGGACGACACCUGGAGGCCAAGACCGAUUUCACCGAAGGCGCUGAGGACGGACCCGGGAGCCGAGAAGAAGCGAACAGAAAAACACCUGCCGUGGGAUCUGCGCUUCGGCUUUCAGCAACUCGGAAGCGAUGAACGAGCCUCUUCUACGUUACCGUGUCAGCGUGCCAGGAGGUCAGCGAAGAGGAGGAGGCAGGUCGGAGCUGGCGGAGCCCCGAGGCGGGGGGAGCGUCGUGCAUCCCCGCGCGGCCGAGGGCGGCCCGGCGCCCCGCUUGGCGGCCUUCCCGCGGCCGCGGCGCCUCCCCGGGCUCUUGAGAUCUCUGCAGGCAAAUCGACCGUUUCCCCCUUUUUUUUUCCUUUCUGCCUCCCCUUUUUGGGAUCCGGACCGGCUGAGGUGACGGGAAGAUGAGGGGUCUUUCCGCAGGGCUUGGAGCAGAAAGCCGUUAGGGCUGGGAUACGGGCAGAAAAAGAGACACCUAUCACACGGGAUAUUUCCUGUUGGAAAUAUCUCCCCCCAAAAAUUAUAAAAGAAAGGGGACAGAAAAAAAAAAAAAAAAAAAACAAGCAGCAAACCAGAUUCAAACCAGGUUCAACUCGAACCGGGGAAACGCGACGUGCUGAGCGCGGCCGCUGCCUGCUGCCCGCGCUGCGGGAGCCGGGCGGUAACGUGCGCGAGCGCGGCCAGUCCCGCCGCCCGGCGAAGCGCUUUCAGGGAAACACUCGGAAAAGUGCUUUUCUCCCCGCAAUUUAGUUGCAAGAAGGGAAUCUCGGAGCGGAGCUUUGGAAACGCCGGUAGAGAUAAUACAGCGACGCUGUAUUUCGGCUUUGCCCGAAACCUUUUCCUUUCUCUGCCCG
Rhea pennata is the source of this 1182-nucleotide long non-coding RNA. RefSeq lists it as uncharacterized. The transcript has 3 exons. NCBI's taxonomy places the organism in Eukaryota, Metazoa, Chordata, Aves, Rheiformes, Rheidae. The record is from RefSeq and is a predicted model, not a curated record.